This 5505-nucleotide long non-coding RNA is filed under the name Capsicum annuum. Its description in RNAcentral is "long non-coding RNA (CANN_LNC020322)". The record is from RNAcentral. Lineage: Eukaryota; Viridiplantae; Streptophyta; Magnoliopsida; Solanales; Solanaceae.
UUGAGUCCUCCUCUUUUCGGACAAUGCAUACAAAGAGACCCGCCAAUAGUCAAAUAAUUAGUGAACCUUAGAGAUAGAGAGAUAUUUCUAUAAUUAGUUCGUUUCUCUUCUAUUUUUCUAUCUCCCUUCUAUCUAUUUUCUUUAGUUAUUUACUAGAGCAAUUAUAAUCUAGAAGUCGAUCCGGGGCAAGUGUUUAGAUCUAUUAUGACAUAGCCUUGAGGCGCUCAACGGACCCUUUUACCUUUUAAAAACCUUUUUGGGCUUUGGAUUGAUCCAAAAACGACUUUUUUGUGCAACCUAGUGUAUAUUCAUAGAAGUUAUUAGAUGGAGCUUUUUAAUUUUUUACCUAGAAGAUUGUAAUUACUCUAUUCCAAAUCACGCUAGUAGCCAUUAGACAUUACUAAGAGACAUCCCCGGUAUAUAUAUAUUUAGUGAUUCAAGGGUUUCUUUUAUUAGUUUUAAUACUAAUAACUAAUAAGAAUUUUGUUUAAUUGAAUUUUUUCAUUUUAAUAUUUUUUAAUUUUAAUUUUAAUAUAUUUUAAUUUUAAUAUAAAUAAAUAAUUUUAAUAUAUUAAUAUAAAUAAAUAAAUAAUAAAUAAAUAGAAUAAAAAGAAGUCUAUUUUGUCCUCUAUCUGUCUUUUUUAUUCCUAAAAAAUAGCAGAUGAAUAUAGAAGUGAAAUAGAAGGCUUAGAAGGGAGAUAAUGAAAUUAUGUGAUUGGGUCUUCCAAAAGCAAAGGAAUGAUCCGUUUUUUAGUUAACUGAUCUGAUGGGUCCAACAAACAAUUAAUUAUAACAAAUAUCUAAAUUCUAAAUAAAGGAUAAUAAAUAAAGGGGGUCUUCUUUUAUUCGAAACGUCUCGUGAUCUUCAACCAAUUAUGUGCUUCAAUAUAAUUACCGGGAGUAAGCGCUAUAGCCUAUUUCCAAUACUCAGCGGCUCGAUCGAACCAAGCCUCUGCAAUUUCAGAAUCUCCCUGUUGAAUGGCCUAUUUUCCCCGGCCGAAAUAGGUAGUUCAAUUCCUACCCUUAGAACCGUACUUGAGAAUUUCUUACCUUAUACGGCUCAGCAGUCAAUUCUUUUGGUGUCCCAUUUUUAUCUAUACCAUAUCUAUCUAAUUAGAUUUCUCAUGGAUCUAUGCUAGCUUUAGGGUUAACCAAAAGAAAAAUAGGUUAAUUACAUGAGUUUCAAACUGAAAUUUGGAUGAAUAAUUCGUUUAUUUAGUUUUAUCUUUUUUCCCACCUUCAGAAGAAUAAAGCAUAAUGAAUUACUAUUUUUAUUAACAGCAUUUAACCAACCCGGCAACCAAAUGCUUCGACCCGCAUUAAAUGCUGGGCCACUCAUUGAAAAUAAAACUACAUCAAACCCAUAUGAAGUUUGACCAUGAACGGAUUGUAUCCAUUGAGCAAAUAUAGGUUCAAUCAAGAUUUUCUUCUCUGGAGUGCCAAAGGCAAGCAUGACAUCAUUAUGAACAUAAAGUCCUAGGGUAUGGAACCCCAGAAAGAGACUGGCCCAAAUUAAAUGAGAUAUGAUAGCUUCUUUAUGAUCUAACAUUCUUGCCAAUACAUUAUCUUCAUUUUGAUCCUGAUUGUAAUCUCUAAUGAAAAAUAUAGCUCCAUGAGCAAAAGCUCCUGUCAUGAUGAAUCCUGCGAUAUAUUGGUGGUGGGUAUAUGAUGGAGCUUGAGUAGUGACGUCCUCUGCUAUGAAUGCAUAAGCAGGUAAAGAGUACAUAUGUUGAGCUACCAAAGAAGUAAUAACCCCUAAAGAAGAUAGAGCAAGGCCUAAUUGAAAAUGAAGUGAAUUGUUGAUUGUGUCAUAAAGACCCUUAUGUCUACGCCCCAAUCGCCCCUCAAUGGAAUAUGUGCAUCUAGAUCUUUUAUAUUGUGCCCAAUCCCGAAAUUGGUUCUAUACAUAUGACCAGCAACGAGAAAAAUAAAUACAAUAGCUAAAUGGUGAUGGGCAAUAUCAGUCAACCAUAAACUUUGCAUUUGUGGAUGGAAUCCCUCGAGAAGAGUUAGAAUGGCAGUUCCUGCCCCUUGGGCGGUACCAAAUAAAUGAGUACUUGAAUCGGGGUUUUGAGCAUAAAGAUUCCAUUGACCUGUAAAAAGUAGGCCUAACCCUUCGGGAUGUGGUAAUACAUCUAAGAAAUUAUUCCACCGAAAAUACUACCCUUUGGAUGCAGGAAUAGCAACAUGGACUAAAUGUCCUAUCCAAGCCAAGGAACUUAUGCCAAAAAGUCCUGACAAAUGAUGAUUCAGACGAGAUUCGGCAUUUUUGAACCAGGAAACGCUUGGUUUCCAUUUUAGUUGUAGGUGUAACCAACCUGCUAUUAAGGAUAUGGCAGAAAGAAAUAAUAGAAAAAGAGUGCCAGUAUAAAGAUCUUGAUUAGUGCGUAAACCAAUUGUAUACCACCACUGAUAAACACCAAAAUAAGCGAUAUUCACUCGGCCAAGAGCACCCCCUCGAGUAAAAGCUUUCACGGCCGAUUGACCAAAAUAAAGAUCCUAAAUUACAUGAGCAACAGGUCUUACAUGUAAAGGGUCUUGUACCCACGACUCAAAAUUUACUUGCUAAGCUACAUGAAACAGAUUUCCGAAAGUCCACAGAAAAAUUAUAUCUAAUUGACCGAAAUGAGAAGCAAAAAUAUUCUGAUAAAGACAUUCCUCAGUAAUAUCAUCAUGACUCUCGAAGUUAUGUGCGGUGCAAUACCAAACUAAAUACGACGAGUAGUGGGGUGCUGAGCUAAACCUUGGCUAAACCUUGAAAAUCGUAAUGCCAUAAUGCUUUUCAAAUACUCCUAGCCAUUAUACUACUGCAAUAAUUCUUGCUAAGAAGAAUGCCCAUGUUGUGGCAAUUUCACCCAGAAGGUAAUGGGUUACUCCUACAGCACGUCUUUGUAUAAUGCUCAAGGCUCUUGGCUGAGUAGCAAGAGCAAAUUUUAAUUAUUAUGAGCCCAAACGAUGGAUUCAGUAAGUUCUUGCCAAUAACCACAUCCGCUGAAUAGAAAUAUUAAACUAAAAGCCCAGACAAAAUGAGCGCCUAGGAAAAAAAGGCCAUAUGCGGACAAUGAAGAACCAUAAGACUAAAUUAGCUGGGAUACCUGUGCCCAUAAGAAAUCGCCGAGCCACCCAUUAAUAGCAAUAGAACUCUGCGCAAAGUUUCCUCCCAUGAUAUAAGUUACUACCCAUUGAUCACUUACACCACCCUAAAUAUCUAAUUGCAUUUUCCAACUGAAAUGGAAUAUUACUACAAAAAUUGAAUUGUACAACCAGAAUAGUCCUAAGAAGACAUGAUCCCAGGCCGAUACUUGACAUGUACCCCCUCUUCCAGGUCCAUCACAAGGAAAACAAAAACCAAGAUUUGCCUUAUCCAAUAUUAAAGGAGAACUGUGAGCAAAUAGAACACCUUUUAAGAGUAUCAAUACUGUCACAUGAAUCAUAAAUGCAUGAAUGUGAUGUACCAAGAAAUUAGUGGUUCCUAAUGAAAUAGGCAACAAAGCCACCUUGCCACCCACUGCCACUAAAUCACCACCCCCCACGUUAAACUGGUGCUUGCUGUUGCACCAGGGGCCAUUGCACUAGGUGCUAAAGCAUGGGUGUUUUGUAUCCAUUGAGCAAAAACGGGUUGUAAUUGUAUAGCGGUAUCUGAAAAAAUAUCUUCAGGAAUCCCUAAGGCGCUCAUGGUAUCAUUAUGAAUAUACAAACCAAAAUUGUGAAAACCUAGAAAUAUACAUGCCCAGUUGAGAAGGGAUAUGAUUGUAUCACGAUGCCUAAGGACACGAUCUAAUAGAUCAUUGUACCGAGUAGUUGGAUCAUAAUCUCUUACCAUAAAAAUGGCUGCAUGAGCGGCAGAACCAACUAUGAGAAAUCCACCAAUCCACAUGUGAUGUGUGAACAAUGACAGUUGUGUAAUAUAGUCAGUAGCUAGAUAGGGAUAAGGGGGCAUAGAAUACAUAUGAUGAUCUACAACAAUCGUUAAAGAGCCUAACAUAGCUAAGUUAAGAGAUAAUUAAGCAUGCCAUAACAUUGUUAGGUUCUCAUAUUGGCCUUUAUGGCCCUAACCUAUAAAUGGACCUUUAUGGGCUUUUAAAAUAUUUUUCAGUCCAUGACCAAUACCCUAGUUGGUCUUAUACAUGUGACCCACUAUCAGGAAAAGAAUUGCAGAGCUAAAUGGUGAUGGGCAAUAUCAGUUGUCCACAAACCCCCAGUUAUUGGAUCUAAUCCUCUACGAAAAGUAAGAAAGUCAGCAUAUUUUGACCAAUCCAAGGUGUAAAAUGGGGUUGCUCCCUCGGCAAAACUGGGAUAAACUUGAGCCAAAAGAUCUCGAUUCAAGAUAAAUUCAUGAGGAAGUGAUAUCUCUUUAGGAUCUACUCCAGCAUUUAGAAAUUGGUUAAUCGGUAAAGAUACGUGUACUCGAUGCCCCGCCCAACAGAGAGACCCAAGUCCUAGCAGCCCUGCCAAAUGGUGAUUCAGCAUAGAUUCUAUAUCUUGAAACCAAGCCAUUUUUGGCUCCACUUUAUGAUAAAGAAACCAACCAGCAAAAAGCAUUAAUGCUGCAAAGACCAAUGCCCCAAUUGCUGUACAAUAGAGUUGUAAUUCACUAGUUAUUCUAGAUGCUCGCCAAAUCUGAAAAAAAACUAGAGGUUAUUUGUAUUCCUCGGAAACCCCCGCCUACGUCACCAUUUAAUAUUUCUUGGCCCACUAUUGGCCAAACCACCUGGGCACUAGGCCCAAUGUGAGUUGGAUCACUUAGCCACGCUUCAUAAUUAGAAAAACGAGCACCGUGGAAAUACAUGCCGCUCAGCCAAAGAAAGAUGAUGGAGAGUUGACCGAAAUGUGCACUAAAUACUUUUCGAGAGAUCUCCUCCAAAUCACUGGUAUGGCUAUCGAAAUCGUGAGCAUCAGCAUGUAGGUUCCAGAUCCAAGUGGUAGUAUCAGGCCCUUUAGCUAUUGUUCUUGAGAAAUGACCCGGUCUGGCCCAUUCCUCGAAAGAAGUUUUUACGGGAUCCCUAUCUACCAAAAUUUUAACUUCUGGUUCCGGCGAACGAAUAAUCAUUGAGUCCUCCUCUUUCCGGACAACACAUACAAAGAGACCCGCCAACAGUCAAAUAAUUAGUGAACCUUAGAGAUAGAGAGAUAUUUCUAUAAUUAGUUCGUUUCUCUUCUAUUUUUCUAUCUCCCAUCUAUCUAUUUUCUUUAGUUAUUUACUAGAGCAAUUAUGAUCUAGAAGUCGAUCCGGGGCAAGUGUUCAGAUCUAUUAUGACAUAGCCUUGAGGCGCUCAACGGACCCUUUAACCUUUUAAAAACCUUUUUGGGCUUUGGAUUGAUCCAAAAACGACUUUUUUGUGCAACCUAGUGUAUAUUCAUAGAAGUUAUUAGAUGGAGCUCUUUAAUUUUUUACCUAGAAGAUUGUAAUUACUCUAUUCCAAAUCACGCUAGUAGCCAUUAGACAUUACUAAGAGACAUCCCCGGUAUAUAUAUAUUUAGUGAUUCAAGGGUUUCUUUUAUUAG